Molecule: long non-coding RNA, 245 nt
Filed under: Lathyrus oleraceus (garden pea)
Lineage: Eukaryota; Viridiplantae; Streptophyta; Magnoliopsida; Fabales; Fabaceae
Description: Pisum sativum (pea) long non-coding RNA (PSAT_LNC019417)
Source: RNAcentral
AGACUGUAUCUUCCCAGCAACAGCGGAGUAGUCGCAUACCCAACAGACAAGAGGGUGGUGUUCCCAGUGUUCAUCUCGUCCUCAACAAAUUAUUAUUUUUAACAUAUUUGUUUUAAUCCCCAGCCUGAGGACGAUUAGCAAGUUCAUAUCCCCAACAAAGGUCGAUUCCUACGACAUUUCCCCAGGAAGUGCUUUCCUCACAAACUCUCCUCGCAGAGCCUCGCCAAGCAAAGUUUCCAUAGUUG